UAGGCUUAAAUUGAAGAUAUGACACUUUGUGACAACUGCUGCUCUAUAGAUACAUUUGAUUGUUUAUUUUUCUCAUCUCAUCUGUCCGUCUCUGUCAAUCUACUUAGUUUGUCGAUAUCUUUCUGGGCCAAGUCAAACAGAGACGUUUUUUUAACAUGACUUUUAGACUCUUUAGUCAAACUCCCCACUAAAACAAACAGUCAGCUACAGUACCUGGAAGGCUGAGAGGCUGUGAUAUACAGAGUGAGGUCUUCAGGUCUUACACAGCAGGUUCAUUCACCAUAGUCUCUCAUGUCCAAUCACAGUCAUGGACUGGGUCUAUUCAAAACUGGCUGCUGGGUGUGUCUGUGUGGGAGUUUUGGGUUCCAGUCUCUUCUGCAGUGAUUGGCUGUGGGGAACCUGAACCGUUGCUGAAUGGAGGGGUGAUGUUCAUAUCUGGCUCUCAGAACCAGCACCUCUCAGUCAUUCAGUACCACUGCAAUGAGCCGUUCUAUAGUCUUUCUGAAGGAGAUAACGGAAACUUCACAUGCUCAUCAGAAGGAAAUUGUAAAAACCACCUGAACAGCUCACUGAUUCCUCAAUGUAUCCCAGUGUGUGGGCGUCCUACAGUGAACCUUCCAGGAUUUUGAAGGAUUUUGGGGGGAAAGCCAGCUCCAGCUGGAUCCUUCCCCUGGCAGGUGUUGCUGAUAGUAAAUGGAAGAGGAGGAGGGAUAGUGAUUGGGGUCCGCUGGAUCACGACUGCAGCACAUGUCCUGGGUCAAUUUCCCAUGCGGUUUCCUAUGGUGAGGUAUAUGUUGGGGAAAACAAUGUGGAAAACCUUAUCCAGUCUCCACCUCUUGAGGUGACCCCUCUCCGUAUUCACCCUGAAUACAACAAUGUAGACGAUGUAAUCUACGACCAUGACAUCGCCAUGAUCCAUCUCAAACAUCCAAUCACAUUCAAUGCUCAUAUCAUGUCACUGUGUCUGCCAGCAAAGGACGAUAAAUACCAGACUGGGCGGAAUGGCUUAAUUUCAGGAUUUGGCCUCAAAGAGCUUGAAAUGGCUACCAAUAACCUCAAGUAUGUUCCUCUACCUGUGGUGAACCAGACAAUCUGUAGAAAAUCUAUUGAGAUAGACUGACAUUUCUUUCCUUUUUCACUAACUGACAACAUGUUCUGUGCUGGGAAUUCUGAGGGAGACAAGGACUCCUGUAUGGGGGACAGUGGAGGAGUGUACAUCCUGAAGGAGGGUGAUUAUUUCUGGGCAGCAGGGAUUGUCAGCUGGGGGAUUAACUGUGGAGAGCCUAGAACAUAUGGGGUCUACACCCGUGUGGCUAACUACGUAGACUGGAUCAAGAGGACGAAGAGCAAAAAACAAUAGUAAUGGACCCAAUGUGGAAUCUGAACCAUUGCUGAGAGGAGAAGAGACAUUUUGUUAUUUUCCUGAUCCACCAGUCUGUGGAAGACCCAUGGUGUCCAUAGAAAUACACCAGAGGAUUAUGGGAGGAGAGGUAGCUCCAAAAGGAACAUUUCCCUGGCAGAUGCUUCUCAGUGUGGAAGGAGGGCGAUCAGGAGGGAUGGUCAUCGGGGACAGAUGGAUCCUGACUGCUGCUCAUGGCCUGGUGCAUCAACAUAACAACCAAGUCAUUAAGAAGAGUGAAGUUAUGGCAUACGUUGGCAACAACAAUGUGGAAAACCUCCUUCAGUCUCCACCUCUUGAAGUGGCCUCUCUCCAUCCUCACCCUGGGUACAACAACACAGACGGGUUAUCCUUCAACCACGACAUUGCCUUGAUCAAGCUCCAACACCCACUCACAUUCAGUAGUUCCAUCAUGCGAGUGUGUCUGCCUGAAAAGGGUGCUGAAUACUCCACUGGAAGAGUUGGGUAAGAGUUGGCUCUCCUGUACAGUAAAUGUUUGAUAUUUGACAGUAUAUUUAUUGGGCGUUCUCUAUUUCUGUUUCCAUUGUAUUUUUUUCUCUCCUAAAACUACCUCAAUGCAAUGGAAACUGUCACGAAUCCCGUUUCCUGAGUCGGUUUUUUGCUUGUGUUCUGUCCUGGAGUGUUUUUUCCGGCGUCCUGGAACGCACCCUGUCUGGUUGCCGGGCAAU
This is a long non-coding RNA of Salvelinus namaycush (lake trout), 2088 nucleotides long. RefSeq lists it as uncharacterized. The transcript has 8 exons. NCBI's taxonomy places the organism in Eukaryota, Metazoa, Chordata, Actinopteri, Salmoniformes, Salmonidae. The record is from RefSeq and is a predicted model, not a curated record.